This 311-nucleotide ribosomal RNA is filed under the name Halobacteriales archaeon QS_6_64_34. RNAcentral's name for it is "bacterial SSU rRNA". It matches the Rfam family "Archaeal small subunit ribosomal RNA", at positions 1 to 313 of the family's 1478-position model. The record is from RNAcentral. Lineage: Archaea; Methanobacteriati; Methanobacteriota; Halobacteria; Halobacteriales.
AUUCCGGUUGAUCCUGCCGGAGGCCAUUGCUAUCGGAGUCCGAUUUAGCCAUGCUAGUCGCACGAACUCAGAUUCGUGGCAUAUAGCUCAGUAACACGUGGCCAAACUACCCUACAGACCACAAUAACCUCGGGAAACUGAGGCCAAUGGUGGAUACCACUCUCAUGCUGGAGUGCAGAGAGUGAGAAACGUUCGGGCGCUGUAGGAUGUGACUGCGGCCGAUUAGGUAGACGGUGGGGUAACGGCCCACCGUGCCCGUAAUCGGUACAGGUUGUGAGAGCAAGAGCCUGGAGACGGUAUCUGAGACAAGA